This 121-nucleotide ribosomal RNA is filed under the name Choerodon azurio (Azurio tuskfish). RNAcentral's name for it is "partial 16S rRNA". Lineage: Eukaryota; Metazoa; Chordata; Actinopteri; Labriformes; Labridae. The record is from RNAcentral.
CACCCAACAGCUAGCCCAACACAUCAAAACCAACAAACCCCUAUUUAUAAACCCAAAGCCCCUAAUCAUAACAAAACAAACCAUUUUUCCCCCUUAGUAUGGGCGACAGAAAAGGACAAAG